UGGACAGAUUAUUGUAUUCGACUGUAUUCACGGCAUGAAACAGGGGAUUACACUGUUUUUAAACGGAAAGUGAAUCAAUUAACAUAAUAGACUCCU
Molecule: microRNA precursor, 96 nt
Filed under: Nicotiana sylvestris (wood tobacco)
Lineage: Eukaryota; Viridiplantae; Streptophyta; Magnoliopsida; Solanales; Solanaceae
Also listed under: 1 other name
Description: MIR6152 microRNA precursor family
Rfam family: MIR6152 microRNA precursor family
Source: Rfam by way of RNAcentral